RNAcentral lists this ribosomal RNA (465 nucleotides) under Vreelandella stevensii. Its description in RNAcentral is "partial 16S ribosomal RNA". It matches the Rfam family "Bacterial small subunit ribosomal RNA", at positions 338 to 795 of the family's 1533-position model. Lineage: Bacteria; Pseudomonadati; Pseudomonadota; Gammaproteobacteria; Oceanospirillales; Halomonadaceae. The record is from RNAcentral.
CCUACGGGUGGCAGCAGUGGGGAAUAUUGGACAAUGGGGGCAACCCUGAUCCAGCCAUGCCGCGUGUGUGAAGAAGGCCCUCGGGUUGUAAAGCACUUUCAGUGAGGAAGAAAGCCUGGUGGUUAAUACCCAUCAGGAAAGACAUCACUCACAGAAGAAGCACCGGCUAACUCCGUGCCAGCAGCCGCGGUAAUACGGAGGGUGCGAGCGUUAAUCGGAAUUACUGGGCGUAAAGCGCGCGUAGGUGGCUUGAUAAGCCGGUUGUGAAAGCCCCGGGCUCAACCUGGGAACGGCAUCCGGAACUGUCAAGCUAGAGUGCAGGAGAGGAAGGUAGAAUUCCCGGUGUAGCGGUGAAAUGCGUAGAGAUCCGGAGGAAUACCAGUGGCGAAGGCGGCCUACUGGACUGACACUGACACUGAGGUGCGAAAGCGUGGGUAGCAAACAGGAUUAGAUACCCCUGUAGUC